AUCAAUAAGCGGAGGAAAAGAAACUAACCAGGAUUCCCUUAGUAACGGCGAGUGAAGCGGGAAGAGCCCAGCACCGAAUCCCCCGCCUUUGGGCGGUGGGACCUGUGGUGUUAAGGACGUUUCUCUGGGUCGGGGCGACGUAUGCCCGAGUCCUCCUGAUAGGGGCUUCGCCCAGUGCGGGUGUAAGGCCUCUCCAGGUGUGCGCUCCCGUCCCUCUGAGCGUCCUCCGAGUCGGGUUGUUUGCGAAUGCAGCCCAAAGCGGGUGGUAAACUCCAUCUAAGGCUAAAUACUGGCACGAGUCCGAUAGCAAACAAGUACCGUGAGGGAAAGUU
Molecule: ribosomal RNA, 332 nt
Filed under: Apistobranchus sp. VR-2006
Lineage: Eukaryota; Metazoa; Annelida; Polychaeta; Spionida; Apistobranchidae
Description: eukaryotic LSU rRNA
Rfam family: Eukaryotic large subunit ribosomal RNA
Source: RNAcentral